AAAGAAUAAUUCUGUAUAUAAACAGUGGGGGUAGAUAAAUCUAUCUUUUAUAGUCGUAUCUCUCCUAUUUAUAAAAAUCUACAAAAACCAGGUAUUUUCUCAUUAUUUUAAUGGAAUUAUUUCCUAACAAACUUGAUAGUAUUGGAUAAAAUUAAAGUUUAUUCUAAACUGUUAAGUUGUAGGUCCUUGGAAAAUUUGCUUUGUUAACUCUUUUGUCAUGUGGAGAGAGAGAGAGAUGGAGGGGAGAGAAUUAGUUAGCUAGGGUUCUUAAGAAUACCUUUUAUCAUUACAUACCCUGUAUUUUUAAAUAGCUAUGUUUUGCCCCUCAAAAAGUAUUCAAAAUAAAUACUAACAGAAAUUCAAUAUUGUAAUAUAUUUUAGUAAUUUUUUUGUAUCUUAAUGUUAGGUCUUCAAACAUGAACUAGCUUACUUAUUGGCUGGAAUUCUUGGAGCAGCAAUAGAUUAUUGGAUUUUCCUUGGUCUUAAGAUGGGUAGAAAUGUGAUGCGACACAUGUCUGAUGACUUAGGAAGUUAUGUUUCUCUUUCGUGUGAUGACUUUUCUUCACAGGAAUUAGAGAUUUUCAUUUGCUCCUUUUCCUCCUCCUGGCUUCAAAUGUUUGUUGCAGAGGCAGUCUUUAAAAAGUUGUGUCUACAGAGCUCUGGCAGUGUUUCUUCUGAGCCACUCUCUCUUCAGAAAAUGGUAUAUUCCUAUUUACCAGCCUUGGGGAAAACUGGUGUGCUUGGGUCUGGAAAGAUUCAGGUAUCAAAGAAAAUAGGACAGCGGCCUUGUUUUGACUCUCAGAGAGCCUUACUAAUGCUGAAUGGUACUAAACAAAAACAAGUCGAAGGGCUGCCAGAGUUACCAGACCUGAACCUUGCUAAAUGUUCCUCAUCAUUAAAAAAAUUGAAAAAGAAGUCAGAAGGAGAAUUGUCAUGUUCCAAGGAGAAUUGCCCCUCUGUAGUUAAAAAGAUGAAUUUUCACAAGACUAAUCUAAAAGGAGAAACAGCCCUGCAUAGAGCUUGCAUAAAUAACCAAGUGGAGAAAUUGAUUCUUCUUCUCUCUUUGCCAGGAAUAGACAUCAAUGUUAAAGACAAUGCUGGCUGGACGCCUUUGCAUGAAGCCUGUAACUAUGGCAACACAGUGUGUGUCCAGGAAAUUUUGCAACGUUGUCCAGAGGUAGAUCUGCUCACUCAAGUGGACGGGGUGACUCCUUUGCAUGAUGCACUGUCAAACGGACAUGUAGAAAUUGGCAAGCUGCUACUACAGCAUGGGGGCCCAGUGCUUUUACAACAGAGGAAUGCUAAGGGAGAAUUGCCCUUGGAUUAUGUGGUUUCACCUCAAAUCAAAGAAGAACUGUUUGCUAUUACAAAAAUAGAAGAUACAGUGGAGAACUUUCAUGCACAAGCAGAGAAACAUUUUCAUUACCAGCAACUUGAAUUUGGCUCCUUUUUACUUAGUAGGAUGUUGCUAAAUUUUUGUUCAAUUUUUGAUUUAUCUUCAGAGUUCAUUUUAGCUUCCAAAGGGUUAACUCAUCUAAAUGAACUGCUUAUGGCUUGUAAAAGUCAUAAAGAAACCACCAGUGUUCAUACUGACUGGUUACUGGAUCUUUAUGCUGGAAAUAUAAAGACAUUGCAGAAACUCCCACACAUUCUUAAGGAACUGCCUGAGGAUUUGAAAGUGUGUCCUGGGGUACACACUGAGGCCUUGAUGGUAACAUUGGAAAUGAUGUGUCGGUCAGUCAUGGAGUUUUCAUGAUGAUGCUAGAAAGUAUGGAUUGACUUUCUAAAUCUGUUCAGUUUGCAUUGGUACUUACUGUGGACUUCAUAGCUUACUGACAGAUAGUAAUUUGAUUUAUUUAUUGACAGACUUUGCAGCCUUGCUAAAUUUUAAAAGCAUUUUUUAAAAAACUUCUACAAAACUCUAGUAUGGGCUUCUGACUUUUUCCAGGGUGUGGAAUUUGACUCAAAAGUAAAAAUAAUUUUGUUUUAGUAUAUUCUACUUUCAUUAAUUUUUUUUGUUCUGAAAGUGAUAUUAUAUUGUACAUGUAAAAUUAAUUUAAAUAUUUUUUCAAAUCAAAAUAUAAUGUCCUGUAUUCUAGAUGUUCUAGGUCUUAGAAUCAUGGCAAGCAUAUUCAUACAAAUGCGUACCUAUAAACUUGUAGCUCCUGACUCUUAGGGAUGGAUUUUGAGGAAAAAACAAGACUAAACAAAAACAUGUAGCUCCCUAUUUCUUCUCUCCAGGUUGUUGGACUGAAAUAUGCAUUUUAGCUUUGUGUGUUUCUAAAAUAAACAUUUCUAAAAUUUACAGUAAUAA
Molecule: small RNA, 2314 nt
Filed under: Pan troglodytes (chimpanzee)
Lineage: Eukaryota; Metazoa; Chordata; Mammalia; Primates; Hominidae
Description: retained intron
Source: RNAcentral